This is a long non-coding RNA of Gasterosteus aculeatus aculeatus (three-spined stickleback), 1632 nucleotides long. The record is from Ensembl. NCBI's taxonomy places the organism in Eukaryota, Metazoa, Chordata, Actinopteri, Perciformes, Gasterosteidae.
CAUUUAGUUGUCAAAAUACAUUUUGACGUACAAUUUUAUCACAAUGUGCCCUGGUCAUGGUGUAGCUUGGCUGGGUAUCCAAAACGAGGAAUGAAGUCGUUGAAAAUUCUUUCUGCAGCUGUUCUUCCAGACUUAUUUCUCGUUGGAUAAGCUUGGGCAAAUCUGGUGAAAUGGUCUAUUACAACCAAGAUGUAUUCAUAACCACCCUUGCUUCUCUCUAAAUGGAGGUAGUCAAUGGAGACCAGUUCCAGUGGUGAAGUGCUGGUGAUACUUCACAUUGGUGCUCUGAUGUGAACGACAGGUUUCUUCUUUUUGAUACAGGGACAUCUUCUGGUCACAUGAGCUUCAAUGUCUCUUUUCAUAAAGGGCCAAUAGAACCUAUCUCUCGCCAAAGUAAGAACGCGCUCAGUUCCUACGUGACCCAUGUCAUCAUGGAGGUGCUUAAGAGCCACUGUGUGGUAUUUUGUGGGGAGGACGAGUUGUUGUCGCUGCUUUGUCUGCCUGUACAGCAGUUGGUUCUUGACGUGGAGUUUCCCCCAUUCAUGCAUGAGUUUUUGCAGCGUACCUGAAGCUCCUCGCCGAUUUUCAUUUGACAAGACUCUCUUUGUUUCCUUCAGUCUUAUUAGUGCCCCAAUUGAUGGGUCUUCCUUGGACAAUUCUUCGGUGCAUUCCACCACAUACCUGUCCAGUGGUAGACGGGAGAGGGUGUCAGCGUCAACAUUGCUCUUCCCUGGUCGGUACCUGAUAUCAAAUUGAAAGUCUGCAAGUUCACCUACCCAUCGGUGACCAACAGCGUUCAGUUUGACUGUGCCCAUGACAUAUGUUAGUGGGUUAUUGUCUGUGUAGAUGGUGAAGUGGGGUGCAUAAAACAAAUAGUCCCUGAAUUUCUCACAAACAGCCCAUUUCAAGGCGAGGAACUCUGUAUGUGUGUACUACGUGUGUCACUGUCGGCUGUUGCCACUUCAUUUACGCUUGAUCCUGAAUAGUUAUUAGCAGUAGCUCUGUCAGUGGACAAUGAAUGCAUUGUGGUUGGGAUGUUAGUCUUUCCCUCGACAUUUAACUGUCAACAAGUCUCUGGACUCUUGCUUUGGUCCUCAAUGAUCUCAUCUACUUUAUCUUUCAGGUCUAAUAGCCAUGAAAUCCCCUCAUCUUCUAACAUCAACAAUGAGUUGCUAGACAUAUAAGCAGACAAAUAUUCAAAACAACUCGUCAUUUUUGUCCAACUUAUCUGUUUCAAGCUCAUCAACUGGUCCGAUGCUUUGAGUGAGCUGGAAGAUCUCUUCGGUUGUCAGGCUGUGUAGUCCUUUCUUUAUUGUCCAAACAAAACUCUUUCUCUCGUUGUCAAACAUGCCGCACGUUGUUGGGACUGUCGAGUUGCACUCUCUCGGCUUGGAUUCCACUAGACUGGUUCUCUCACCCUGGCAGUCGCUCACUCGCAGUGCCCCUCGCUCCAGCAACGUGUCAUCACUCUGGUCCACGGUUCAUGGAUUACUGGAUCAGCAGUUGUCGGACCCCCGUAGUACUGCUGAUCCCGGACCAGCCCCCGAAGAUCUGUUACAGGUCUCAGGAUAAGAGAGCCUGAUGACAGACUUGUGCCUGAGAAAAAUAAAAUUAGUGACACAGGCAGACAUG